RNAcentral lists this ribosomal RNA (1046 nucleotides) under Chryseobacterium sp. TS1. RNAcentral's name for it is "bacterial SSU rRNA". It matches the Rfam family "Bacterial small subunit ribosomal RNA", at positions 18 to 1070 of the family's 1533-position model. The record is from RNAcentral. Lineage: Bacteria; Pseudomonadati; Bacteroidota; Flavobacteriia; Flavobacteriales; Weeksellaceae.
AUCUGUUCAGAUUGAACGCUGGCGGGAGGCCUAACACAUGCAAGCCGAGCGGUAGAGUUUCUUCGGAGACUUGAGAGCGGCGCACGGGUGCGGAACACGUGUGCAACCUGCCUUUAUCUGGGGGAUAGCCUUUCGAAAGGAAGAUUAAUACCCCAUAAUAUACUGGAUGGCAUCAUCUGGUAUUGAAAACUCCGGUGGAUAGAGAUGGGCACGCGCAAGAUUAGAUAGUUGGUGAGGUAACGGCUCACCAAGUCAGCGAUCUUUAGGGGGCCUGAGAGGGUGAUCCCCCACACUGGUACUGAGACACGGACCAGACUCCUACGGGAGGCAGCAGUGAGGAAUAUUGGACAAUGGGUGAGAGCCUGAUCCAGCCAUCCCGCGUGAAGGACGACGGCCCUAUGGGUUGUAAACUUCUUUUGUAUAGGGAUAAACCUAGAUACGUGUAUCUAGCUGAAGGUACUAUACGAAUAAGCACCGGCUAACUCCGUGCCAGCAGCCGCGGUAAUACGGAGGGUGCAAGCGUUAUCCGGAUUUAUUGGGUUUAAAGGGUCCGUAGGCUGAUUUGUAAGUCAGUGGUGAAAUCUCACAGCUUAACUGUGAAACUGCCAUUGAUACUGCAAGUCUUGAGUGUUGUUGAAGUAGCUGGAAUAAGUAGUGUAGCGGUGAAAUGCAUAGAUAUGACUUAGAACACCAAUUGCGAAGGCAGGUUACUAAGCAACAACUGACGCUGAUGGACGAAAGCGUGGGGAGCGAACAGGAUUAGAUACCCUGGUAGUCCACGCCGUAAACGAUGCUAACUCGUUUUUGGGUUUUCGGAUUCAGAGACUAAGCGAAAGUGAUAAGUUAGCCACCUGGGGAGUACGAACGCAAGUUUGAAACUCAAAGGAAUUGACGGGGGCCCGCACAAGCGGUGGAUUAUGUGGUUUAAUUCGAUGAUACGCGAGGAACCUUACCAAGGCUUAAAUGGGAAAUGACAGGUUUAGAAAUAGACUUUUCUUCGGACAUUUUUCAAGGUGCUGCAUGGUUGUCGUCAGCUCGUGUUGUGA